RNAcentral lists this ribosomal RNA (253 nucleotides) under uncultured bacterium. Its description in RNAcentral is "partial 16S ribosomal RNA". It matches the Rfam family "Bacterial small subunit ribosomal RNA", at positions 524 to 776 of the family's 1533-position model. The record is from RNAcentral.
GACAGAGGGGGCAAGCGUUGCUCGGAAUCACUGGGCGUAAAGGGCGCGUAGGCGGGAUGGCAAGUCGGUCGUGAAAUCCUUCGGCUCAACCGAAGAACGUCGGCCGAUACUGCCGUUCUUGAGGGAUGCAGAGGAGAUUGGAAUUCCAGGUGUAGCGGUGAAAUGCGUAGAUAUCUGGAGGAACACCGGUGGCGAAGGCGGCAUCCUGGACCAACACUGACGCUGAGGAGCGAAAGCCAGGGGAGCAAACGGG